Molecule: non-coding RNA, 147 nt
Organism: Vicugna pacos (alpaca)
Lineage: Eukaryota; Metazoa; Chordata; Mammalia; Artiodactyla; Camelidae
Source: Rfam
CUUCCCAGCUGCCUCACAAGGAUAUCCAUGACAGCAGUGAUUCAUGCUGGCUUGCUGGUGAACUCACUGGGCAGGAAGCCUCAAUACAAGUGACAGAUAGGUCUUAGUGUUGCUCUUGACUAAUGACAGGGUUUCUGGCUGCCCAGG